This 216-nucleotide long non-coding RNA is filed under the name Elaeis guineensis (African oil palm). Its description in RNAcentral is "long non-coding RNA (EGUI_LNC019368)". Lineage: Eukaryota; Viridiplantae; Streptophyta; Magnoliopsida; Arecales; Arecaceae. The record is from RNAcentral.
GGUCCACAUCUAAUCUGUGCCAACUAUGAGGGUGACAGCCCUAAACUAGUAGCUGACCCGUUUUCAAAGUUCUCAGCUUGAACAAAAUUGAAGUCUGGUUGGCCUAGGUCGAGAAAGUUAAUUUGGGUUAGCUUUUUUCUUGACAACAUUUUGAUCAUAGGUCUCAUCAGUCUAAAUUGCAAUUCAAAACAGGUCUGAAGACAGAUUUCUAGUUCC